This 402-nucleotide ribosomal RNA is filed under the name uncultured bacterium. Its description in RNAcentral is "bacterial SSU rRNA". It matches the Rfam family "Bacterial small subunit ribosomal RNA", at positions 29 to 413 of the family's 1533-position model. The record is from RNAcentral.
AACGAACGCUGGCGGCGUGGAUAAGACAUGCAAGUCGAACGGGACUAAAUCUGUAGCAAUACAGGUUUAGUUUAGUGGCGAACGGGUGCGUAACACGUGGGCAAUCUGCCGAGAAGUGGGGGAUAGCUCGCCGAAAGGCGAAUUAAUACCGCAUAUGAUCAGCUAAGACAUCUUAGCGACAUCAAAGCCGGGGUAACCUGGCGCUUCUUGAUGAGCCCGACGGCCAUCAGCUAGUUGGUGAGGUAACGGCUCACCAAGGCUAUGACGGGUAGCUGGUCUGGAGAGGACGACCAGGUCACACUGGGAACUGAGACACGGUCCAGACGCCUACGGGUGCAGCAGUCGAGAAUUUUGGGCAAUGGGACGAAAGCCUGACCCAGCAACGCCGCGUGAAGGAUGAAG